RNAcentral lists this transfer RNA (86 nucleotides) under Melanthalia intermedia. RNAcentral describes it as "tRNA-Met". Lineage: Eukaryota; Rhodophyta; Florideophyceae; Gracilariales; Gracilariaceae. The record is from RNAcentral.
UGUAAGAGAGGUUUUAAAACAAAAGCCGACUCUAAUAAUCCGCCAUCCUAUUAUGGACGUCGCUGGUUCGAAUCCAGCCAGAUGCA